UACGUAGGGGGCAAGCGUUGUUCGGAAUUACUGGGCGUAAAGGGCGCGUAGGCGGCACGGCACGUCGGGAGUGAAAGGCCUGGGCUCAACCGAGGAACUGCUUUCGAGACUGCCGAGCUAGAGUGCGGAAGGGGCAACUGGAAUUCCCAGUGUAGCGGUGAAAUGCGUAGAGAUGUGGAGGAACACCAGUGGCGAAGGCGACUUUCUGGGCUGUAACUGACGCUGAGGCGCGAAAGCGUGGGGAGCAAACAGG
RNAcentral lists this ribosomal RNA (253 nucleotides) under uncultured bacterium. RNAcentral describes it as "partial 16S ribosomal RNA". It matches the Rfam family "Bacterial small subunit ribosomal RNA", at positions 524 to 776 of the family's 1533-position model. The record is from RNAcentral.